This 462-nucleotide ribosomal RNA is filed under the name uncultured bacterium. Its description in RNAcentral is "partial 16S ribosomal RNA". It matches the Rfam family "Bacterial small subunit ribosomal RNA", at positions 28 to 507 of the family's 1533-position model. The record is from RNAcentral.
GACGAACGCUGGCGGCGUGCUUAACACAUGCAAGUCGAACGGAAAGGCCCUUCGGGGUACUCGAGUGGCGAACGGGUGAGUAACACGUGGGUGAUCUGCCCUGCACUUUGGGAUAAGCCUAGGAAACUGGGUCUAAUACCGAAUAGGACCACGCGCUUCAUGGUGUGUGGUGGAAAGCUUUUGCGGUGUGGGAUGGGCCCGCGGCCUAUCAGCUUGUUGGUGGGGUAAUGGCCUACCAAGGCGACGACGGGUAGCCGGCCUGAGAGGGUGACCGGCCACACUGGGACUGAGAUACGGCCCAGACUCCUACGGGAGGCAGCAGUGGGGAAUAUUGCACAAUGGGCGGAAGCCUGAUGCAGCGACGCCGCGUGAGGGAUGACGGCCUUCGGGUUGUAAACCUCUUUCAAUAGGGACGAAGCGCAAGUGACGGUACCUAUAGAAGAAGCACCGGCCAACUACGUG